CUGACCUUAGCUCAGUGGGUAGAGUGGUGGACUAUAGUUGGACUAAUCUAAAUUGGAAAUCCUUAGGUCGCUGGUUUGAUUCCGGCAGGUUGGA
Ipomoea nil (Japanese morning glory) is the source of this 94-nucleotide transfer RNA. It matches the Rfam family "tRNA". Rfam says of the family: Transfer RNA (tRNA) molecules are approximately 80 nucleotides in length. Their secondary structure includes four short double-helical elements and three loops (D, anti-codon, and T loops). The record is from Rfam. Lineage: Eukaryota; Viridiplantae; Streptophyta; Magnoliopsida; Solanales; Convolvulaceae.